Molecule: ribosomal RNA, 440 nt
Filed under: uncultured bacterium
Lineage: Bacteria
Description: partial 16S ribosomal RNA
Rfam family: Bacterial small subunit ribosomal RNA
Source: RNAcentral
CCUACGGGUGGCUGCAGUGGGGGAUAUUGCACAAUGGGGGGAACCCUGAUGCAGCGACGCCGCGUGGGUGAAGAAGCGCCUCGGCGCGUAAAGCCCUGUCAGCAGGGAAGAAAAUGACGGUACAUGAAGAAGAAGCCACGGCUAACUACGUGCCAGCAGCCGCGGUAAUCCGUAGGGGGCCAGCGUUAACCGGAAUUGCUGGGUGUUAAGGGGGCGCAGACGGGCAUGCAAGUCAGGAGUGAAAGCUCGGGGCCCAACCCCGGGACUGCUCGUGGAACUGCGUGGCUGGAGUGCAGGAGAGGCAGACGGAAUUCCUAGUGUAGCGGUGAAAUGCGUAGAUAUUAGGAGGAACACCAGUGGCGAAGGCGGUCUGCUGGACAGCAACUGACGCUGAGGCGCGAAAGCGUGGGGAGCAAACAGGAUUAGAUACCCUAGUAGUC